RNAcentral lists this ribosomal RNA (107 nucleotides) under uncultured bacterium. RNAcentral's name for it is "partial 16S ribosomal RNA". The record is from RNAcentral.
CGUUACACACCGCCCGUCCACACCACUGGGAGGUUGGUCGUGCACCAGAAGCCGGUAGUCUAACCGCAAGGGGGACGCCGUCCACGGUGUGGUCAAUGACUGGGGUG